UACGUAGGGUGCGAGCGUUGUCCGGAAUUAUUGGGCGUAAAGAGCUCGUAGGCGGUUUGUCGCGUCGGCCGUGAAAACUCAGGGCUUAACCCUGAGCUUGCAGUGGGUACGGGCAGACUAGAGUGCGGUAGGGGAGACUGGAAUUCCUGGUGUAGCGGUGAAAUGCGCAGAUAUCAGGAGGAACACCGGUGGCGAAGGCGGGUCUCUGGGCCGUAACUGACGCUGAGGAGCGAAAGCAUGGGGAGCGAACAGG
This 253-nucleotide ribosomal RNA is filed under the name uncultured bacterium. RNAcentral describes it as "partial 16S ribosomal RNA". It matches the Rfam family "Bacterial small subunit ribosomal RNA", at positions 524 to 776 of the family's 1533-position model. The record is from RNAcentral.